This 467-nucleotide ribosomal RNA is filed under the name uncultured bacterium. Its description in RNAcentral is "partial 16S ribosomal RNA". It matches the Rfam family "Bacterial small subunit ribosomal RNA", at positions 29 to 507 of the family's 1533-position model. The record is from RNAcentral.
ACGCACGCUGGCGGCGUGCUUAACACAUGCAAGUCGCACGGAAAGGCCCUGCUUUUGUGGGGUGCUCGAGUGGCGAACGGGUGAGUAACACGUGAGUAACCUGCCCUUGACUUUGGGAUAACUUCAGGAAACUGGGGCUAAUACCGGAUAGGAGCUCCUGCUGCAUGGUGGGGGUUGGAAAGUUUCGGCGGUUGGGGAUGGACUCGCGGCUUAUCAGCUUGUUGGUGGGGUAGUGGCUUACCAAGGCUUUGACGGGUAGCCGGCCUGAGAGGGUGACCAGCCACAUUGGGACUGAGAUACGGCCCAGACUCCUACGGGAGGCAGCAGUGGGGAAUAUUGCACAAUGGGCGGAAGCCUGAUGCAGCAACGCCGCGUGCGGGAUGACGGCCUUCGGGUUGUAAACCGCUUUCGCCUGUGACGAAGCGUGAGUGACGGUAAUGGGUAAAGAAGCACCGGCUAACUACGUG